This 537-nucleotide ribosomal RNA is filed under the name Streptomyces sp. 303B08. Its description in RNAcentral is "bacterial SSU rRNA". It matches the Rfam family "Bacterial small subunit ribosomal RNA", at positions 93 to 644 of the family's 1533-position model. The record is from RNAcentral. Lineage: Bacteria; Bacillati; Actinomycetota; Actinomycetes; Kitasatosporales; Streptomycetaceae.
UAGUGGCGAACGGGUGAGUAACACGUGGGCAAUCUGCCCUUCACUCUGGGACAAGCCCUGGAAACGGGGUCUAAUACCGGAUACCACUCCUGCCUGCAUGGGCGGGGGUUGAAAGCUCCGGCGGUGAAGGAUGAGCCCGCGGCCUAUCAGCUUGUUGGUGGGGUAAUGGCCCACCAAGGCGACGACGGGUAGCCGGCCUGAGAGGGCGACCGGCCACACUGGGACUGAGACACGGCCCAGACUCCUACGGGAGGCAGCAGUGGGGAAUAUUGCACAAUGGGCGAAAGCCUGAUGCAGCGACGCCGCGUGAGGGAUGACGGCCUUCGGGUUGUAAACCUCUUUCAGCAGGGAAGAAGCGAAAGUGACGGUACCUGCAGAAGAAGCGCCGGCUAACUACGUGCCAGCAGCCGCGGUAAUACGUAGGGCGCAAGCGUUGUCCGGAAUUAUUGGGCGUAAAGAGCUCGUAGGCGGCUUGUCACGUCGGAUGUGAAAGCCCGAGGCUUAACCUCGGGUCUGCAUUCGAUACGGGCUAGCUAG